RNAcentral lists this ribosomal RNA (492 nucleotides) under uncultured bacterium. Its description in RNAcentral is "partial 16S ribosomal RNA". It matches the Rfam family "Bacterial small subunit ribosomal RNA", at positions 29 to 507 of the family's 1533-position model. The record is from RNAcentral.
AGUGAACGCUGGCGGUAGGCCUAACACAUGCAAGUCGAACGGCAGCACAGUAAGAGCUUGCUCUUACGGGUGGCGAGUGGCGGACGGGUGAGGAAUACAUCGGAAUCUACUUUUUCGUGGGGGAUAACGUAGGGAAACUUACGCUAAUACCGCAUACGACCUACGGGUGAAAGCAGGGGAUCUUCGGACCUUGCGCGAUUGAAUGAGCCGAUGUCGGAUUAGCUAGUUGGCGGGGUAAAGGCCCACCAAGGCGACGAUCCGUAGCUGGUCUGAGAGGAUGAUCAGCCACACUGGAACUGAGACACGGUCCAGACUCCUACGGGAGGCAGCAGUGGGGAAUAUUGGACAAUGGGCGCAAGCCUGAUCCAGCCAUACCGCGUGGGUGAAGAAGGCCUUCGGGUUGUAAAGCCCUUUUGCUGGGAAAGAAAAGCGGCAGGUUAAUACCCCGCUGCUCUGACGGUACCCAAAGAAUAAGCACCGGCUAACUUCGUG